This is an RNA transcript of Falco peregrinus (peregrine falcon), 11461 nucleotides long. It is a transcript of the gene named PR/SET domain 11, with no coding region annotated. The record is from RefSeq and is a predicted model, not a curated record. NCBI's taxonomy places the organism in Eukaryota, Metazoa, Chordata, Aves, Falconiformes, Falconidae. The transcript has 9 exons.
CUGCACAGCGCUCGAGGGUAGGGUUUGUUGUUGUUGUUCUGGUCGCUGCUGGGUGGGUUGCUUUUUUGGGGGGUAAUCUGAAAUACGAUCGAGCCCGGAGCGCCAGGGAAACACCGCGCCUCCACAUUCACUUUCUGCUCGCAGAAGGGCAUGGGGCUGCACACAGGCGGCGGGAGGCGCGCACCGGCGGUCCCGCCGCCGGGAGAGGGGCCCGCCCCGGGGCCACUCAGGCGGUGGCCUCGGCCGGUGAAGGAGCCCCGGGGCACGUCCCCGGCCGGGGGGCACGGCUCUCCGCCGUCCCCCACAGGCGGGCGGCCCCGAGGGUGCGGCCGGGUCCCUCUCCGCGGGGCGCCGCGGCGGCUGUCGGGCGGCGGCAGGUGGUGGCCGCGCCAGCGCCCGUGGGGAGCCCAGCGGCUCCGCGGGGCCGAGCCCCUCCGGCCGCCGGCUCCCCCCGCGCUAUGGCCGAGGGCAUCCCGGGCGGUUUUUGUCCUUAAGAGCCCCCCCCCCCGCCCCCCCGAGCCCCUGCCCGGCCGCAGAUCGCCGCCGGCUCCGCGCGGAACUCGCAGACUCCGGAGCAGGAGAACAUGAGUGAAAACUUGAAGGACUGUUUGAUCCAGACCCAGGCUUCCUUAGGGGAAAUGGUGACGAUAAAAACAGAGACCUGCUCUCCGUGCCGGGACCAGGAGUAUGGACAGCCUUGCUUUGGAAGGCCUGACCCACAGUCCAUGGAGGUGGAGCCCAAGAAACUGAAAGGGAAACGGGAUUUGAUCAUGACCAAGAGCUUUCAGCAAGUGGAUUUCUGGUUCUGCGAGUCCUGUCAGGAGUACUUCGUGGAUGAGUGCCCGAACCAUGGUCCCCCAGUGUUCGUGUCUGACACCCCGGUGCCCGUUGGCAACCCUGACCGAGCAGCACUGACCAUCCCGCCUGGAAUGGAGGUGGUGAAAGAGCCCAACGGGGAGAAUGAUGUGCGCUGUAUGAAUGAGGUGAUCCCCAAAGGUCACAUCUUCGGGCCAUAUGAGGGGCAGAUCUCUAGCCAGGACAAGUCCGCAGGAUUCUUCUCGUGGCUGAUCGUUGAUAAGAACAACCGCUACAAAUCCAUCGAUGGGACAGAUGAAACCAAAGCAAACUGGAUGAGGUAUGUGAUCAUCUCCCGGGAGGAGAGGGAGCAGAACCUGAUGGCCUUCCAGCACAGCGAGAGGAUUUACUUCCGUGCCUGCCGCGACAUCUGCCCUGGGGAGAAGCUGCGGGUCUGGUACAGUGAGGAUUACAUGAAGCGGUUGCACAGUAUGUCCCAGGAGACCAUCAACAGAAAUCUCACAAGCGGAGACAAAAAGUCACAGAGGGAAAAGUCAGAAAAGAAUGUGGAAAAUCAAGAGGACACAAGGGGGCCGCUCCAGCUCGCCACCUUAAAGCAAGGGAAGAGCCCCUAUAAGCGCAGCUGUGACGAGGGGGAAUUCCACCCCCAAACAAAGAAAAAAAAGAUUGACCUCAUCUUCAAAGAUGUCCUGGAGGCUUCUUUGGAGUCUGCCAAAUUCAAAGAGAACCAGGCUGAAGACAUCUUUGAGCGGUGUAGCAGUGCCAUGCAGCAUGGCUCCCUGAGCCUCAGCAGAAACCGGAGUGAGGGGGAGUGGAAGGUCCCCCACAGUUCCUCUUUCAGCUCAGCCAAAGAGGUGGGCAUCCUUGAAGACGAGGAAGAAGAGCCCCUGUUACUCAAAGCAGACAGCCCAACCGAGCUGUCACUGGCCUCUGCACAAGGCAACUCCCACGAAAUCCCCACCACCUCCUUCUGCCCCAACUGCAUCCGGCUGAAGAAGAAGAUCCGGGAGCUGCAGGCAGAGUUAGACAUGCUGAGAUCUGGGAAGUUACCUGAGCCACCUGUGUUACCGCCCCAGGUACCUGAGCUCCAAGAGUUCUCAGACCCCACAGCUUCAGAAAGUAUCAUCUCUGUUCCCACGAUUAUGGAGGACGAUGACCAAGAAGUGGACUCAGCUGAUGAAUCGGUUUCCAAUGACAUGAUUGCUGCUACAGACGAGCCUUCCAAGAUGUCUUCUGCGACAGGCCGGAGGAUACGGCGGUUCAAGCAGGAGUGGCUUAAAAAGUUUUGGUUUCUGCGGUACUCCCCAACAUUGAAUGAAAUGUGGUGCCACGUCUGUAGGCAGUACACAGUGCAAUCCUCUCGGACUUCAGCCUUCAUCAUUGGUUCAAAGCAGUUCAAGAUACACACAAUAAAGCUUCACAGCCAGAGCAACCUCCACAAGAAGUGCCUGCAGCUUUACAAGCUCAGGAUGCACCCAGAGAAGACAGAAGAGAUGUGCCGAAAUAUGACCCUACUCUUCAAUACAGCCUACCACUUGGCCCUGGAGGGCAGGCCCUACUAUGACUUUCGGCCUCUGGCAGAACUACUGAGAAAGUGUGAACUCAAGGUGGUGGAUCAAUACAUGAAUGAGGGAGACUGCCAAAUCUUAAUCCACCAUAUCGCCCGGGCUCUUCGAGAGGACCUGGUUGAACGCAUCCGACAGUCUCCCUUCCUCAGCAUCAUUCUAGAUGGGCAGAGCGAUGACUUGCUUGCAGACACGGUCGCGGUUUAUGUGCAGUACACGAGCAGCGAUGGGCCUCCGGCAACUGAAUUCCUGUCUCUUCAGGAACUGGGCUUUUCUACAACAGACAGUUACCUCCAGGCAUUAGACAGGGCUUUUUCCAGCCUUGGAAUACGAUUGCAGGAUGAGAAGCCAACAAUUGGUUUGGGAGUUGAUGGUGCUAACAUUACUGCCAGCCUGAGAGCCAACUUGUUCAUGACAAUCAGAAAGACCUUGCCCUGGCUUCUCUGCCUGCCCUUUAUGGUGCACAGGCCACACUUGGAAAUUUUGGAUGCAAUCAGUGGCAAAGAACUUCCAUGCCUGGAGGAGCUAGAAAACAACCUGAAGCAACUGCUCAGUUUCUAUCGUUACUCUCCCCGACUCAUGUGUGAGUUGAGGGUGACUGCUGCCACUCUGUGCGAGGAGACCGAGUUCUUAGGGGACAUUCGAGCAGUGAAGUGGAUCAUUGGGGAGCAAAAUGUGCUCAACGCUCUAAUCAAGGAUUACCUGGAGGUUGUGGCCCAUCUCAAAGAUGUCAGCGGCCAGACCCAAAGGGCAGAUGCAUCUGCCAUUGCCUUGGCCCUCCUGCAGUUCCUGAUGGACUACCAGUCAAUUAAACUCAUCUACUUCCUGCUGGAUGUGAUUGCUGUGCUUUCACGCCUCGCCUACGUCUUCCAAGGGGAGUACCUUCUUGUGUCACAGGUGGAUGAUAAAAUAGAGGAGGCCAUCCAGGAGAUCAGCCGGCUAGCAGACUCGCCUGGGGAGUACUUGCAGGAGUUUGAGGAAAACUUCCGUGAAAGCUUUAAUGGCAUUGCUGUGAAAAACCUACGGGUGGCUGAAGCCAAAUUCCAGUCGAUCAGAGAAAAGAUCUGCCAGAAGACCCAGGUGAUCCUAGCCCAAAGGUUCGAUUCCCGUAGCCGGACAUUUGUGAAGGCUUGUCAGGUAUUUGACCUCGCAGCUUGGCCCAGAAGCACUGAUGAGCUCAUGAGCUAUGGGAAAGAGGAUAUGGUACAAAUAUUCGAACACCUGGAGACGGUCCCAUCAUUUUCCAGAGAGGUUUGCAGAGAGGGGAUGGACACCCGAGGGAGUCUGCUGAUGGAGUGGCGAGAACUCAAAGUGGAUUAUUAUACCAAAAAUGGUUUUAAAGACUUGCUCAGUCACAUUUGUAAGUACAAACAGAGAUUCCCCCUCCUAAAUAAAAUAGUUCAGAUCCUCAAAGUCCUUCCCACCUCAUCGGCCUGCUGUGAGAAGGGGCGCACCGCCCUGCAGAGGGUGCGCAAAAACAACCGCUCUCGGCUCACGCUGGAGCAGCUCAGUGAUCUUUUGACGAUUGCUGUUAAUGGGCCACCUAUUGCCAACUUUGAUUGCAAAAGGGCGCUAGAUAGCUGGUUCGAGGAGAAGUCGGGCAAUAGUUAUGCGUUGUCAGCCGAAAUGCUGAGCCGGAUGUCAUCUCUUGAUCAGAAGCCAAUGUUGCAGAGCAUGGACCAUGGCUCUGAGUUUUACCCCGAUAUUUAGGAAGGAAUGCCUCAGAUCAGAAAGCUGUUGAAUAAUUUUUUUAAUCUAUACUCUAAACUUUGAUAUAUUAUAAAAAAAAAAUAUAUAUAAUCUAUAUUAAGGAAAAACCCACACUGAAAAUUUAAAAGUUUAGACGAUGUGCGUCUGAUAGAAGCUAAGCAGAAUUUUAAAGAUUGAGACAAUGUUUAGACAUUUACUGGUGUCUCCAACCAUGGCAGCUGCAGUGUAGGUGGCAACAUUUCAUUCUUUAGAAGCAUGUGCUGGGGCCAUACUCUACAUGUUCAAACCUAACUAUCUAUAAGCUAGAUGACGGGUCUUUGUCAGCCUCAGCCUCCCGGCGGUUUCCUUUGUAUGUGUGUUGUCGGUUUGUUGAGUUGUUUUUUUGUGUUGUUUUGUUUCGGGGUUUGUUUGUUUGUUUCUUUUUCCCCUUGGUUUUGAUCUCUGCCUCUCUUUCCGUUGUUCAGUCCAGUUAUUGAGCCACUUGAGCCUUUUGUUGACAACCGUCAGAUUUCUGAUUUCCGACAGAGCAUCCUGUGCAUUUAUGUUGCCCCUGGCUCUCCAGCUCCACCCAGUUCUCUUGACUCAAGUGGGAGCUUUCCUUACAGAGAUUACUGGCAGGAGGGAAAGGCUGGGGGUGUUAUUUUGGUUUUUUCUUCUGAUUUAGAAACAAAUGCCUCCACUAAACUGUGAUGCCCCUUUCUCAAUUCUCCCUACUUUUGGGCUGUAGAGUAAUACUUGGCUUUCAGCUCCUUUUAUGAUAACCAUAGUACCAGUCUAUCAUACAUAUAUUAUUACAUGGUGUCAUGUGCAGACUAUAAAAUAGCAAAAUAGAGAAGGCAGGGGGAAAUUUUUGCAUUUAUAUUUUUAUAUUGUAGGAGAUAAAUAUAUAUAUAUAUAUAUAUACAACUAUUCAUUCAAAACCAGGGCUGCUGUGGAAGCUAGACAGCCAAUGAGUCAAGAGCCAUCUCUGGGCAGAGAUUCAAAGGCUUAAAAAUUAUAUUCUAAUUUACAUUAUUUAUACUACGUCUUUAUAAUCCUAGAUUGUUGUGGGGUUUUUGUUUUGUUUUGUUUUGUUUCGUUUUGUUUGGAAUGACUGAAAGAAAAACCUGCCACAGUUUGGUGGCAGGAGCUAUCAAUGCAAGAUUAUCUUGGAUUAUAUUCAUGUGAUGAUGUCCUACAAAGGUUCACGUAUUCUCUUGUGACCAAGGUAACAUGUUCCACAGCACAGCAGCCUGAUGACAGCAGGAAGAAGGGAUGCUCUGCUUCUUCCUGCGAAAUGUUUCUUCCUUUCUUGAAGAGAUGCAGAGUCCAGCUGAAAUGUGAAUGGGGGACUUGCACCUUCCAUCACAAAGAGAUUGUUCUGUGGGCUUGGGGUUCUUCGUUGUUUUAUUCUUUUAAAGUAAAUGAGCUCCAGGCAUUCACACAAUAUCACUUCAGGUUAGAAAAGCAAAAAAAUAAAAAACAAACAAACAAAAAAAAACCACAAAAAAGGUGCAAAAACUCCACAGAUGCUAGUGCCUUGCCCUGCUGAUGUGGCAUGGACAGCACCAACCUGACCAGACCAUCAUGGGAGUGAGAACCUGUUGUCCAGAAGGUGUCCGAGCCAACAUGAUCUCACUUCCCAGAGGGAUGAGCUUUGUGCCAAGCUGUGUUGUUUGGAAACAUGAUGGUGGUAUCAGCAACACUGAACCUUUCCUUUCUCCUGUUACCCCCCUGCCCUUGGUCUUGGUGCUAAGAUAUCUCUAGAACCGUUGCUGCUAGUUGAUAGCUUUUCAUUUAUAUAAAUAUAUAUAUAUAUAAAAAAUAUUAUUUUAUUUUUUAAACUUUUUUGUUUGUUUUCAAUGGAGAUGUAGCAUGUUUGGAACCGAUCUCUUUUGGAGUCACUUUCACUGCCAGGGUUCACACACUGUCUUCCCCGGGAAAACACGCACUUCUGCCUAGGUCUUGCUCACCUCCCACUAACCACUUUGCCCUCAGCAGAACCACACAGCCAGCACCAGGCAGAGAUGUACAGCCAAGCCGCUGUGGACUGGCUCAGCUUUCAGACCCCACAGGAACAGCUAGACUGGUGUUGGUCAGCGUUUUGGGAGUGUUCCCCUUCUGUCCCUGUGGGACUGAGAAGGGACUGAGCCCACCUGAAGCACUAGUGUUGGUCCAUCCUUGCGUCCUGACUCUGCACUCUUUGCUGUAAAACGGGGCUCUUUGGCCAGAGAGGCCAAAGGGAGCAGAGCAGACCCCACGAAUGUAGCAGCAAGGGCUGGGCAGGCGGCAUACCCUCCGUAGCACUUACUCCCUGUCCCCUCUGCCUUACCUCAGAUGGCAUGUGCAGCCUGCCGGCUGGCUCGGGCAGUGGGGGGCACCUGCACCAGGGCCUGCUGCUGAACCACCGGCAGCAGUGCAGGCGCUGGGCACUUCUCCCUGCGGUCCUCAUGGGAACGCCACAAGCUAGGUCAGGUCAUUGCGCCGUUGCAGCGCUGGGGUGUCAAUAUGCAACACCUAGCAAGCAAAAAAAAAAAAAAAAAAAGGCUUUAUUUGCAUUUUUUCCUGUCUUUCCCAAUAAAUGAUGUGAUCAGAUUUACCCCCAUUCAUUUAGAGGAGUGAAAAUUAAACUAGAAAUCCCCCGCCAGCUGUGCAGACUUGGGUGGUUGUUUGCCUGACCAUAAAAUAGGGAUCUCUCCACAAGAGGUGCUUGUGUAGCCCUUCAGGCCCGGCAACUCAGCUCUGCUCAGGGUGCUGCCACAAAGGUCGCAAAGCUGCUCCCUGCUGGGGAGAUGGCAGGCUCCCUCCUUAGUUAGAAUUUUUGGAGAUAAAAAAAAAAAACAAAACCCCACCAAAAAAAAAAAACAGGUAGAAAAGGUAGAAGAAUUGCUGCUCAGUCUCUGACCUGGAAAUGAGCAAGGUGAACGUAGAUGUUGGAGACAAGAAGUGAAUUGAUGCACCAGCAGGGAAUGGGCAGGUGGGGGACAGUCUUCCUUGUCGAGCAUGCACACAGCAGGCAGUAGAAGCAAAAGUAACAAAGAUACUUGAUGCAGGCUGCCGUGGUUGUUGGAGAGGCUGUAAAGACAGUUUCCGUCCUCCCCUUUUUUUCACUUUCCUUUGCCGAACUCCAUAGCUCUUUGUGGGGGGAACUAAAAAACACCUGCCUUUCUGUUUGCUGCAGUGGAAGCUCCUUUGCACAUGGCUCUGUCACAGAGGCCCGUCAAAGUGCCUGGCCUACAUGGAGGGAAGGGACACUUGCAGACAGUCUCCAGACACCUUUGCAGACAGGAGUGCUCCCCCAGUGCUUGUCCUGAGCACCUGAGAGGCCUGUUUACAACUCCUGCUCUGAGCCUCUUUACUUUUGCCACUGGGGAGAAAAUGGUGCCUUGCCUUGUCAGCGAGGUUAGAGCUGCCAGAGCCUUGUUCAGAAAUGAUUCCUCUAAUUUGUCACUCCUUCCCUUUGGUGCGUUUGCAGAUCCCACUCUCAUCAGUGACAGCUUUCACUGGCUGCUCUUAUUCCUGACGGCAAAGCGAAAUGCACAGCGAGUGGCUUUUUUAUCUGUGCAGUCAGGUGGCAAGGGGAAAGUGCUGGUUUCUUUUGCAAAUAACUGCCUGCACCUGUGAGUGAUGUCAGUAGGAAGUGUGAUUCCCUGCCAUGGGAUAUUGCAGAUACCCAUGAUGGGAAGGCUCAGAGACCCCUUGCAUUGGUGAUAGGGGGGAAAUGAGUGCUUGGCGGAGCAGCCGGCUUGGCCCAGCCCAGCUCCCACAACACAAACAAUUCCUGAUUGCCCCCAAGUCAGAAAAUAAGCCCAGCUUUUGUCCUAGACAAACGCAGGUGCUUUGAAAGCUUUCCCUGUAGGUUUACCCACCUAUCUCAGAUCUGUAGCUAUUACUGCCAUGGAUAAACGUGACUGCUGUGACUGCCGGCAUGAGCAAGAUAGGGAGGAGGGAGGAAUACCAAUGCAAAGUGCCCCUGGCUUCCCAGUGGCCUGCCUGCUGAGCCUUUCCCGGGAGCAAGUGCUUUUCUGUGCCCUAUUUGCAAACCUCAGGAGGCAGCGGCAGGCAUGGGGAGGGCUCACUCAGCAUGGCAGAGAGGGAGGCCACCUUUGUUCAGAGAUAGCCACGCAUCAGGUUUAAUCCAUGCCUUUCCUGCUGCCCUGAGUGAGCAAGAGGAGGUUGUUUUGAACACGUUCACAGCAUCUUGAAGUGCUUCAGCUGCAAAGAGAGAAGGGUUUAGUUUUUCUCAAAUGAGCUCUUUAUUCUCUCUUUCCCCCUGCGCCUUUGCUAUGGCAUCUGACUGUGAAUAAUGCACACUUCUCUAGACCAUUGGGUUUGUAUUUCUAGCCCAUGGGCCUUUUGGUUGCCAUUUUCUCUCCUCACUUUUUGCUCAGGCUCCUUGCCUCUUUUACCCUGCUGUGAAGCAGAAAUCCAUGAAGCACAUUCAGACAUGUCCUUCUGCAGGGCUCACCAGUGGCUGCAGAGGUCCAGACCCUCCGGCCACAAGACUGAACUCAGCAGGGAUAAUCCUCACAAGAGACCAAAGCUCUUCCCAUACCAGCAAAAGUAUGUGGAUGCCACAGGAGGUUGUGAGGGGAUGCGGUGGGCAGGGUCCCAGUGUGUCAUCUGCCUUGGGUCUCGAGCUGACCACAGCGAUGGUCCCCUGUUCUGGUCGCACUUUUGCUGACAUGACUCCUUAGACAUGAUUCAGGCUCGGUCCAUCUCUUUCUCACAGCACAAACUCAACCAGGUGUCCCAUGGGGUCUUCAGGGUCCCCUUUCUUUCUUAUCUCAUGAAGACUGGUGUUUGUUUGACCAGUGGGUAAGACAACCUAGACAGCCGGCUUGCAAAUGAGCAGCAACAGCAUCUGCUUUUGCAUAUUCCCCUCAGCCCUGUCGAAAGAGGUCUUAAAAGCAGAGAAAUGGUACGUUGCUCCCCCAGCCAUUGUAUUCAAUGCAGUAAUGCCUAUGCAAUUCCUGUCUCCCUUGGAGACACGUAUGAUGUGUGUGCAUGUAAGCUAGUGUAUGUAUACAGUACAUACGCAUAUGGUCUAUAUAUUGUAUAUACGCACAUCCCAGUACAUAUACACACAGUACAAAAGAUUAAAAUCACAUGCUUAUAUAUCUAUAAAUAAAAUCCUAUAUAUUUAUAUAUUUCUAUGUUUUCGAUAGAUAUAAAGAUAUAAUAUAGAGAUAGACUCAACCACCCUUGUGUAAGGCUGGCCCUGUGUUCAGGCACAAGGCAUGUAACACUGAAGACUUUGGACUUUGGGAUAGUUUUAGCCAUACACUGAGGCCUACAUUUACGUGUAUAGCACUCUAUGGAGAGGGGCUUUGCUGUGGUUAGGGCAAGGGGUUUCCUUGCUGGCAUGUUAACCAAGUGCUAAAUAAGAUUUGUGUAAUAGGGGAAUGUCUUGGUGGGGGAAAAUGAUUGAGUGUCCUUGUCUUCUCCCGAGUAAGCCUCUGGCUGAGGUCCUGUGGACAGGCUUGGACAGAUACAUAUCCCACCCUCAUAUGCACUUUUCUCUUUGCAUGGAUGCGGUUGGCAACUGCGGGUACUGGUGCUGUGAAAACGUGGCUUUCUGCUGUUCUGCCCGGCAUUCCUCGGCAGUCGCCGGCACGCUGCCAGGGAGACCGUGUGCCAGCAGGCGCUCACACCACACCAAGUGAGAGCGUAGGUUUGCUCACGGGCAUCAGUCAGUGACACGGCUGUGGUGCUGGGGUAAAGGCAGCAGGAAAGCAAAGGCGUUACUGCGUGGAGGGAGGGUCGCUGCUGCACGGUUGUUGGUGGCAGGGAUGGUGUAUAGAGCUGGAGCAGCACAAAUGAGAAGAGGACGUAAAUUUGGAGUGGUAAGGAUGACAGUGUGCAAGCCCCGCUGGUGAGGCACGCGCAGCUCUGUUGCUGGGUCAGGCUGGCUGCUGCUCUGCUGCAGGAGCUGCUCCGCUCCCUCAGGUCUCGCAGCUGCAUCUCGGCUGGUGAGCAGCCUGCCUGGCCGAGGGCCCGGGUGUUUUUUCUGGAGGAAAGGGAAUGAUGUGGUCACGCAGAAGGCAUGGUCGGUGGCGCAUGUGUGCCUUUAGGCCCUAACACACGGCAUGCUGACCUUGCCAGACUAGAAGCACCAAAGGGUGCAUCCCUCUUGCCCUGCCCAUGCAAAGAGACACCUGUUUUCACCUGACAGGUGUUUCUGUGCUUUGACUGGGGGUGGAUCAGCCUUCCCUGGGUGUCUGCCAAUGCCUGCAGGAUGGACAGCCACCUCAUCCCUCCCUUCACACAGCCGCUUGUAGGACAGUGACCCCACUGCAGGGUGAAGCCCUUGGUGGGCACCUGGGGAGACCUGAGAGGCACCUCUGGCUGGGCUGGCAGCAGGUGGUGGGUCACUGCACUGCUUCCCCACAAGAGUCGAAGGGGAGGCAUGGAGGUUUGGCUUUGCAGCUCCACACCAGGCCUGGCAACCACUGCACUCCUCGCUGUUUUAGUUGUUGGCUUCAGCUGGGAGGAGGGUGAGUUGUAAUUCCGACGACCAAAUAACUCGUUACACUGGUAUUGCAUGAGCAGACGCUGUGCAAGCUCCCCCCAAGCCCUGUCACACACCUCAGCACCCUCUCCCAGGCCUCUCUCCUCCACACAACUGGUAAUCCACCUCAGCCGCAACCCACUUGCCAGCGGCUCCCCACUCCACUGCAGCCCCUCAGUCGCGCAGCGCCGGUGGGGAGCUCCCUGGCACGUGUUCCUCACAAACCUCAGAGACGGUUUCCUCACUCCCAGCCUCCUCCUUCGGAUGCCACUGACACUCACGUAGGCUCAGCCCGCUGCCUCACUGCCCACCCGCCCAUGCCGACAGUGCUGCUGCCCGGCGAGGGGCUCCCAUGCACUGCACCUCAUGUCAAAUAAGCUCACUGGGCUACGUGGGGGAACCAUGUCUCAUAUGCUGUAAUGUCCUGAAUGCUAUAGGAGGGCUACGGAGUUUUCUGCCAGUUAUGGCAUCCUCAUAGACUCACCUGACUGUUGGCAAAAAUGUAUUUCUACUUCCAGAAGACAAGAGGUUUUGUCUCAGACCUCUCCACAUCCACAUCCAAGCACAGCCCUGCUGAACUGUUUCAAGCAAUCUCUCACCCACCCCACCACCACCCACACCCACACACACAAAAUGAGAGAAAAAUAUCUAGACGUCUAUUACUACAUAUGUAUUAAUAUGUUAAUAUCACUCUUUUGGAGAACAUUAAAAUGUUAUUACUUUACAGACUAUGCUUUAUAGUACCUGUGUGAAAGGACCUAGGACACUGGAUACGAAUAGAGCUAUGUUGAUAUAUCAUAGUAUGUACACGAGAACCUUCCUUUUGUCAUAUUAUCCUUGUAAUGUAAAAUGAUUGUUAAUAAAAAAACAUUUAAAUUUA